GUAUGACGAGAUGAUUAAUGAUUAAUUUCUCUAUUCAUUUGAUUGGCCAACAUGAUAGCCUAAAUACUAAAUCGAAUCUGAUCAUAA
Non-coding RNA from Triticum aestivum (bread wheat), 87 nucleotides. The record is from Rfam. NCBI's taxonomy places the organism in Eukaryota, Viridiplantae, Streptophyta, Magnoliopsida, Poales, Poaceae.